This 672-nucleotide ribosomal RNA is filed under the name uncultured bacterium. Its description in RNAcentral is "bacterial SSU rRNA". It matches the Rfam family "Bacterial small subunit ribosomal RNA", at positions 232 to 884 of the family's 1533-position model. The record is from RNAcentral.
CGCGGCCUAUCAGCUUGUUGGCGGGGUGACGGCCCACCAAGGCGGUGACGGGUAGCUGGUCUGAGAGGAUGGCCAGCCACAUUGGGACUGAGAGACGGCCCAGACUCCUACGGGAGGCAGCAGUGGGGAAUCUUGCGCAAUGGCCUGACGGCUGACGCAGCGACGCCGCGUGGGGGAGGAAGGGCUUCGGCUCGUAAACCCCUGUUGCCCAGGGCGAACCUCUGGUCUCGACCAGACUGACGGUACCGGGUGAGGAAGCACCGGCUAACUCCGUGCCAGCAGCCGCGGUAAUACGGAGGGUGUGAGCGUUGUCCGGAAUCACUGGUCGUAAAGGGCGCGUAGGCGGCCCGUCAAGCGUGUGGUGAAAGCCCGGGGCUCAACCCCGGGUCGGCCGUGCGGACUGGCGGGCUCGAGCACUGUAGGGGCGGGUGGAAUUCCGGGUGUAGCGGUGGAAUGCGUAGAGAUCCGGAAGAACACCGGUGGCGAAGGCGGCCCGCUGGGCAGGAAGGCCCCCUCACGGGGGCCGGCUGACGCUGAGGCGCGACAGUGUGGGGAGCAUACAGGAUUAGAUACCCUGGUAGUCCACGCCGUAAACGAUGGGCACUAUGUGCCUGGGGGAGCGACCCCCCGGGUGCCGGCGCUAACGCAUUAUUGCCCCGCCUGGGUAGUACU